UGGGCGUAAGAGCUCGUAGGCGGUUUGUCGCGUCUGCUGUGAAAUCCCGAGGCUCAACCUCGGGCUUGCAGUGGGUACGGGCAGACUAGAGUGCGGUAGGGGAGAUUGGAAUUCCUGGUGUAGCGGUGGAAUGCGCAGAUAUCAGGAGGAACACCGAUGGCGAAGGCAGAUCUCUGGGCCGUAACUGACGCUGAGGAGCGAAAGCGUGGGGAGCGAACAGGAUUAGAUACCCUGGUAGUCCACGCCGUAAACGUUGGGCGCUAGAUGUAGGGACCUUUCCACGGUUUCUGUGUCGUAGCUAACGCAUUAAGCGCCCCGCCUGGGGAGUACGGCCGCAAGGCUAAAACUCAAAGGAAUUGACGGGGGCCCGCACAAGCGGCGGAGCAUGCGGAUUAAUUCGAUGCAACGCGAAGAACCUUACCAAGGCUUGACAUACACCGGAAACGGCCAGAGAUGGUCGCCCCCUUGUGGUCGGUGUACAGGUGGUGCAUGGUUGUCGUCAGCUCGUGUCGUGAGAUGUUGGGUUAAGUCCCGCAACGAGCGCAACCCUCGUUCUAUGUUGCCAGCGGGUCAUGCCGGGGACUCAUAGGAGACUGCCGGGGUCAACUCGGAGGAAGGUGGGGAUGACGUCAAAUCAUCAUGCCCCUUAUGUCUUGGGCUUCACGCAUGCUACAAUGGCCGGUACAAAGGGCUGCGAUACCGUAAGGUGGAGCGAAUCCCAAAAAGCCGGUCUCAGUUCGGAUUGAGGUCUGCAACUCGACCUCAUGAAGUCGGAGUCGCUAGUAAUCGCAGAUCAGCAACGCUGCGGUGAAUACGUUCCCGGGCCUUGUACACACCGCCCGUCAAGUCAUGAAAGUCGGUAACACCCGAAGCCGGUGUCUAACCCUUGUGAA
This 893-nucleotide ribosomal RNA is filed under the name Curtobacterium sp. RNAcentral describes it as "bacterial SSU rRNA". It matches the Rfam family "Bacterial small subunit ribosomal RNA", at positions 555 to 1448 of the family's 1533-position model. Lineage: Bacteria; Bacillati; Actinomycetota; Actinomycetes; Micrococcales; Microbacteriaceae. The record is from RNAcentral.